Molecule: microRNA precursor, 109 nt
Organism: Ochotona princeps (American pika)
Lineage: Eukaryota; Metazoa; Chordata; Mammalia; Lagomorpha; Ochotonidae
Source: Ensembl
UCACCUGGCUGUGUGACGUGUGGGCUUCCCUUUGUCAUCCUUUGCCUAGGGUUCUGAGCAGGGCAGGGACAGCAAAGGGGGGCUCAGUCGUUACCCUCUGCAGCACAGA